RNAcentral lists this ribosomal RNA (300 nucleotides) under uncultured Bacillus sp. RNAcentral describes it as "partial 16S ribosomal RNA". It matches the Rfam family "Bacterial small subunit ribosomal RNA", at positions 496 to 795 of the family's 1533-position model. Lineage: Bacteria; Bacillati; Bacillota; Bacilli; Caryophanales; Bacillaceae. The record is from RNAcentral.
GUGUACUGCGUGCCAGCAGCGGCGGUAAUGCGAAGGAGGCAAACGUUGGUCGGAAUGAUUGGGCGGAAAGCGAACGUAGGCGGCUUUGCAAGUCGGAGGUGAAAUGCCUCGGCGUAACCAAGGAAGUGCAUCCGAAACUGCAGAGCUUGAGUACGAAAGAGGAUCGCGGAAUUCCCGGUGUAGAGGUGAAAUUCGUAGAUAUCGGGAGGAACACCAGUGGCGAAGGCGGCGAUCUGGGUCGAUACUGACGCUGAGGUGCGAAAGCGUGGGGAGCAAACAGGAUUAGAUACCCGUGUAGUC